This is a long non-coding RNA of Cyprinus carpio carpio, 605 nucleotides long. The record is from Ensembl. Lineage: Eukaryota; Metazoa; Chordata; Actinopteri; Cypriniformes; Cyprinidae.
UGAAAAAUUACAUUUCAGUUUCUAGUUUAGAGCUCUGUCUGUGAUUUAUACUUCAUUUAUUUUACAACAAAACAUGAUUUUAUAAUUGUCUCGACGAGCAGCUUAACAUGGAUUUACUAGUUUAGAUAACCCAGAUCAAGCUCUCAACUGAUGGGAUGACUUCUGUUGGAAUGGAUCUACAACGAUGACUUUUUGUAGAGCUCAACUCCAGUCCCGGGACCCACAGUGCUGCACAUUUUGUUUGUCUCUCUAAUCCGACAGAUUGUUUAAACAUUAAACAAGGGAGACAAACCGAGUAAAAUAUGGACCAGAAUCAAGAAAUACAGGUUUGCAGGCAAACAGAAUCAUAGGAGAAGGUCCACCCAUGAGGAUGAGUGUCUUCUGGAGGUGGAGGAAGGGGGUUCUUAACUGCUGUUUAUGGGUCUGUCCCAAUACACACACUUGUGGUCUAGGCCACUUUAAGCUCAUUGUCCUUCAUGGACACUAUAUUCACAUCUCUAACACUGCAUCAGGGCAGUAUUUAAGGUUAAGCAUAACCCAUCAAAAUCAAGAGAAGAAAAACAGUGUGUGUAAAAUUAUUUUUAUAUUUAUAUUUAAUUUGGUAG